AAAUUGAAGAGUUUGAUCAUGGCUCAGAUUGAACGCUGGCGGCAGGCCUAACACAUGCAAGUCGAACGGUAACAGGAAGCAGCUUGCUGCUUUGCUGACGAGUGGCGGACGGGUGAGUAAUGUCUGGGAAACUGCCUGAUGGAGGGGGAUAACUACUGGAAACGGUAGCUAAUACCGCAUAACGUCGCAAGAUCAAAGAGGGGGACCUUCGGGCCUCUUGCCAUCGGAUGUGCCCAGAUGGGAUUAGCUAGUAGGUGGGGUAAAGGCUCACCUAGGCGACGAUCCCUAGCUGGUCUGAGAGGAUGACCAGCCACACUGGAACUGAGACACGGUCCAGACUCCUACGGGAGGCAGCAGUGGGGAAUAUUGCACAAUGGGCGCAAGCCUGAUGCAGCCAUGCCGCGUGUAUGAAGAAGGCCUUCGGGUUGUAAAGUACUUUCAGCGGGGAGGAAGGGAGUAAAGUUAAUACCUUUGCUCAUUGACGUUACCCGCAGAAGAAGCACCGGCUAACUCCGUGCCAGCAGCCGCGGUAAUACGGAGGGUGCAAGCGUUAAUCGGAAUUACUGGGCGUAAAGCGCACGCAGGCGGUUUGUUAAGUCAGAUGUGAAAUCCCCGGGCUCAACCUGGGAACUGCAUCUGAUACUGGCAAGCUUGAGUCUCGUAGAGGGGGUAGAAUUCCAGGUGUAGCGGUGAAAUGCGUAGAGAUCUGGAGGAAUACCGGUGGCGAAGGCGGCCCCCUGGACGAAGACUGACGCUCAGGUGCGAAAGCGUGGGGAGCAAACAGGAUUAGAUACCCUGGUAGUCCACGCCGUAAACGAUGUCGACUUGGAGGUUGUGCCCUUGAGGCGUGGCUUCCGGAGCUAACGCGUUAAGUCGACCGCCUGGGGAGUACGGCCGCAAGGUUAAAACUCAAAUGAAUUGACGGGGGCCCGCACAAGCGGUGGAGCAUGUGGUUUAAUUCGAUGCAACGCGAAGAACCUUACCUGGUCUUGACAUCCACGGAAGUUUUCAGAGAUGAGAAUGUGCCUUCGGGAACCGUGAGACAGGUGCUGCAUGGCUGUCGUCAGCUCGUGUUGUGAAAUGUUGGGUUAAGUCCCGCAACGAGCGCAACCCUUAUCCUUUGUUGCCAGCGGUCCGGCCGGGAACUCAAAGGAGACUGCCAGUGAUAAACUGGAGGAAGGUGGGGAUGACGUCAAGUCAUCAUGGCCCUUACGACCAGGGCUACACACGUGCUACAAUGGCGCAUACAAAGAGAAGCGACCUCGCGAGAGCAAGCGGACCUCAUAAAGUGCGUCGUAGUCCGGAUUGGAGUCUGCAACUCGACUCCAUGAAGUCGGAAUCGCUAGUAAUCGUGGAUCAGAAUGCCACGGUGAAUACGUUCCCGGGCCUUGUACACACCGCCCGUCACACCAUGGGAGUGGGUUGCAAAAGAAGUAGGUAGCUUAACCUUCGGGAGGGCGCUUACCACUUUGUGAUUCAUGACUGGGGUGAAGUCGUAACAAGGUAACCGUAGGGGAACCUGCGGUUGGAUCACCUCCUUA
This 1541-nucleotide ribosomal RNA is filed under the name Escherichia coli. Its description in RNAcentral is "bacterial SSU rRNA". It matches the Rfam family "Bacterial small subunit ribosomal RNA". The record is from RNAcentral. Lineage: Bacteria; Pseudomonadati; Pseudomonadota; Gammaproteobacteria; Enterobacterales; Enterobacteriaceae.